Rhopilema esculentum is the source of this 1390-nucleotide non-coding RNA. NCBI's taxonomy places the organism in Eukaryota, Metazoa, Cnidaria, Scyphozoa, Rhizostomeae, Rhizostomatidae. The record is from RefSeq and is a predicted model, not a curated record.
CGAGCUGGAGGAGUCUAGGAACUAGCGCGGUCUUCUCAUGAUUUUCCAAUCCAGCGCGUGGAGGCCAAUUUCGUAUCUCGGAGCAUAGAAAGGGAUUCUAGGAAGGUUUACACAGCAACUAUAAUAUUUGAUCAGAGUGAUGGACUAAGAAAAAGACUGUUUUGGAUCAUGGCACCUGAAAUCGCAUUCAGUGUAAACACAGAUAGGGCUGCCGAGGAAAAAUGGCUGUAAAUAUUUCAAUCGCUAGGGGACGGGGGUGCUGUCGUUCAAAGUCAUUGGUUCAAGAAGUGCUUUAACGAAAAUGUUUCUCUCGUAUUCAGAGUGUUCCAUUUUGAAUGACAAGAAAUGUCUGCUAAAUCCACCAACACAAUAAAUCAAACAAUAAUGAUGUCUAGGCAGAGAAAAUAAAAUGUUUAAAAAUAAUAUUCCCAAGGUAUAAAAGCGUUUUCAGUGUUGGCAACAGGUAGUGCAACAAAGACAUUUUUAAAGCAUGUCAGUAUUAGUUAUCUAGCUAAGAAGCAAAUCUUUUCUGGAAAAUUGGUGUUAAAAAUCUCUUUUUUAAAAAACCAAAGUACUAAAUUCCCCAUAAUCUAAUAUUCAGGGGGGGGGAGGGGGGACUGGAAAACAGCGCAAAAGAAGAGCGGUUAACUGAAACGAUUCUUGCCACUGGCAAAGCAUACUUCGACAUUACAUAUCCUCUACCCCCUGAUCUAAUAUAAUCAAUUUGACUACAGAAACUACUUUAACACAGCAGUGAUUAAUACACACACUCUGAACAUUACAACUGGAUAUAACUGACUUAUUUUAAAGGCAUCAAGGCGAAGAAAAAUGAAAGUGAUAUUUUUAAUACUUGCAGCGGUAGAGGUUUCAUUGUGCUUUGAUAAACUGAUAGAAAAUUUGAGAAAGAUUCAAUUUCACGAGGAUGAAGAAUUGCUUGAUUUCAAAGGAGGUGAAUACAUGAUUCAGUCCACGAAAAAACAAGGAAAACUAAUGUUUGAUUUCAUGGACGCAAAUAAAGACGGAUUUGUCACAAGAGACGAAAUGCGUGAAUUUGGCAAGGUGAUAGUGAGCAACAGCUCCGAGCAGUUGGACUUCUGGGUAAGCGGCAACUUCAAAAGCGAUGAAAACAAAGACGAACAACUGACCUUCGACGAGUUUUUUAAGCCCCAAUCAAGGAUGGGACAAAAGUCAAGCGACGAGCUUUGAGAAUGAUAAAGGGUAUGGGAAUUAUUGCUACUGGUACACAGUGUUGCAACACCGAAUAUGUUCACCCGAACCAGAUAUUUCUUCGCAAUCAUUUAAUUUGUGGAAUUGAGUCUUUAGGAUGCUUCAUCAAAUUUAUGAAUCAAACUUUUAUGAAUUGAAAUCCAAAUUAUAUUCCGCGACUCUC